GACGGAGGGUGCUAGCGUUGUUCGGAAUCACUGGGCGUAAAGGGCGCGUAGGCGGCCCUGGCAGUCGGAUGUGAAAGCCCGGGGCUCAACCCCGGAACGGCAUCCGAUACUCCAGGGCUGGAGGCCGGAAGAGGAGGGUGGAAUACCCAGUGUAGAGGUGAAAUUCGUAGAUAUUGGGUGGAACACCGGUGGCGAAAGCGGCUCUCUGGUCCGGACCUGACGCUGAGGCGCGAAAGCGUGGGGAGCAAACAGG
This 253-nucleotide unclassified non-coding RNA is filed under the name uncultured Alphaproteobacteria bacterium. Its description in RNAcentral is "contains 16S-23S intergenic spacer region". It matches the Rfam family "Bacterial small subunit ribosomal RNA", at positions 524 to 776 of the family's 1533-position model. Lineage: Bacteria; Pseudomonadati; Pseudomonadota; Alphaproteobacteria. The record is from RNAcentral.